GGGCCGGUAGCUCAGCUGGGAGAGCGCUGCGUUCGCAAUGCAGAGGUCGGGAGUUCGAUCCUCCUCCGGUCCACCA
RNAcentral lists this transfer RNA (76 nucleotides) under Methylocaldum gracile. RNAcentral's name for it is "tRNA-Ala". It matches the Rfam family "tRNA". Rfam says of the family: Transfer RNA (tRNA) molecules are approximately 80 nucleotides in length. RNAcentral also lists the same sequence under 11 other names. Lineage: Bacteria; Pseudomonadati; Pseudomonadota; Gammaproteobacteria; Methylococcales; Methylococcaceae. The record is from RNAcentral.